GGUCGCGUGGUGUAGUUGGUUAUCACGUUCGCCUAACAAAUUAGUUCCGCGAAAGGUCUCCAGUUCAAACCUGGACGUGAUCA
Lophium mytilinum is the source of this 83-nucleotide non-coding RNA. The record is from the annotation of a GenBank genome assembly. Lineage: Eukaryota; Fungi; Ascomycota; Dothideomycetes; Mytilinidiales; Mytilinidiaceae.